RNAcentral lists this ribosomal RNA (321 nucleotides) under uncultured eukaryote. RNAcentral describes it as "partial 18S ribosomal RNA". It matches the Rfam family "Eukaryotic small subunit ribosomal RNA", at positions 1470 to 1796 of the family's 1831-position model. The record is from RNAcentral.
CCCUUAGAUGUCCUGGGCCGCACGCGCGCUACACUGAUGCAUUCAACGAGUUGGUACCUUAGCCGAGAGGCCUGGGCAAUCUUUUGAACGUGCAUCGUGAUAGGGAUAGAUUAUUGAAUUUUUUAAUCUUGAACGAGGAAUUCCUAGUAAACGCAGAUCAUCAAUCUGCAUUGAUUACGUCCCUGCCCUUUGUACACACCGCCCGUCGCACCUACCGAUUGAAUGGUCCGGUGAGAUCUCGGGACGGCGGCUUGGUCGCUUGCGUCCGACUGCUGAAACUUGAUUAAACCAUAUCAUUUAGAGGAAGGUGAAGUCGUAACA